GGGCCUAUGGCGCAAUUGGUAGCGCGUAGUAAGUUCACCUGCAUCCAAUCGGAUUGCAAAUCGUAAGGUUGUCCGAUCGAGCCGGGCUGGGCUCA
This 95-nucleotide transfer RNA is filed under the name Aspergillus luchuensis IFO 4308. RNAcentral's name for it is "tRNA-Cys (GCA) (tRNA-Cys-GCA-4-1)". It matches the Rfam family "tRNA". From Rfam's summary of the family: Transfer RNA (tRNA) molecules are approximately 80 nucleotides in length. Their secondary structure includes four short double-helical elements and three loops (D, anti-codon, and T loops). Further hydrogen bonds mediate the characteristic L-shaped molecular structure. tRNAs have two regions of fundamental functional importance: the anti-codon, which is responsible for specific mRNA codon recognition, and the 3' end, to which the tRNAs corresponding amino acid is attached (by aminoacyl-tRNA synthetases). tRNAs cope with the degeneracy of the genetic code in two manners: having more than one tRNA (with a specific anti-codon) for a particular amino acid; and 'wobble' base-pairing, i.e. permitting non-standard base-pairing at the 3rd anti-codon position. The record is from RNAcentral. Lineage: Eukaryota; Fungi; Ascomycota; Eurotiomycetes; Eurotiales; Aspergillaceae.